This 88-nucleotide transfer RNA is filed under the name Candidatus Levybacteria bacterium RIFCSPHIGHO2_02_FULL_37_13. RNAcentral's name for it is "tRNA-Ser". It matches the Rfam family "tRNA". Rfam says of the family: Transfer RNA (tRNA) molecules are approximately 80 nucleotides in length. RNAcentral also lists the same sequence under 1 other name. Lineage: Bacteria; Candidatus Levyibacteriota. The record is from RNAcentral.
GGAGGGGUCGCAUAGUGGCCUAGUGCGCACGCUUGGAAAGCGUGUAUGCCGCAAGGUAUCGGGGGUUCGAAUCCCCCCCCCUCCGCCA